AUGAACAAUCCAAGCGGGGAAU
RNAcentral lists this microRNA (22 nucleotides) under Ananas comosus (pineapple). Its description in RNAcentral is "microRNA s0138_c056". The record is from RNAcentral. Lineage: Eukaryota; Viridiplantae; Streptophyta; Magnoliopsida; Poales; Bromeliaceae.